Molecule: ribosomal RNA, 246 nt
Filed under: uncultured bacterium
Lineage: Bacteria
Description: partial 16S ribosomal RNA
Rfam family: Bacterial small subunit ribosomal RNA
Source: RNAcentral
GAUCCUGGCUCAGAUUGAACGCUGGCGGCAGGCCUAACACAUGCAAGUCGAGCGGAAGAAGGGAGCUUGCUCCCGGAUUUAGCGGCGGACGGGUGAGUAACACCUGGGAAUCUGCCUGAUAGUGGGGGAUAACGUCCGGAAACGGGCGCUAAUACCGCGUACGUCCUACGGGAGAAAGCAGGGGAUCUUCGGACCUUGCGCUAUCAGAUGAGCCCAGGUCGGAUUAGCUUGUUGGUGAGGUAAUGG